This 533-nucleotide ribosomal RNA is filed under the name Ignisphaera aggregans. RNAcentral describes it as "bacterial SSU rRNA". It matches the Rfam family "Archaeal small subunit ribosomal RNA", at positions 1 to 506 of the family's 1478-position model. Lineage: Archaea; Thermoproteati; Thermoproteota; Thermoprotei; Desulfurococcales; Desulfurococcaceae. The record is from RNAcentral.
UGCGGCCGCGACUCCGGUUGAUCCUGCCGGACCCGACCGCUAUCGGGGUGGGGCUAAGCCAUGGAAGUCGAACGCUCCGCAAGCGCGGGGCGUGGCGCACGGCUGAGUAAUACGUGGCUAACCUGCCCUCGGGACAGGGAUAGUCCCGGGAAACUGGGACUAAUCCCUGAUAGGUGAAGAGGUCUGGAAAGCCUCUUCGCCGAAAGGAUCGAACCGCCGUGAAGGUUCGAUCGCCCGAGGAUGGGGCCACGGCCCAUCAUGGUAGUUGGCGGGGUAACGGCCCGCCAAGCCGAAGACGGGUAGGGGCCGUGUGAGCGGGAGCCCCCAGAUGGGCACUGAGACAAGGGCCCAGGCCCUACGGGGCGCACCAGGCGCGAAACCUCCGCAAUGCGGGAAACCGUGACGGGGCCACCCCGAGUGCCCCGAAGAGGGGCUUUUCCCCGCUGUAAGAAGGCGGGGGAAUAAGCGGGGGGCAAGUCUGGUGUCAGCCGCCGCGGUAAUACCAGCCCCGCGAGUGGUCGGGACGCUUAUUG